This 108-nucleotide small nuclear RNA is filed under the name Heterocephalus glaber (naked mole-rat). Lineage: Eukaryota; Metazoa; Chordata; Mammalia; Rodentia; Bathyergidae. The record is from RNAcentral.
GUGCUUAGCUUCGGCAGCACAUAUGCUAAAAUUGGAAUGAUACAGAGAAGAUUAGCAUGGCCCCUGUGCAAGGAUGACACACAAAUUUGUGAAGCGUUCCAUUUUUUU